This 206-nucleotide ribosomal RNA is filed under the name uncultured bacterium. RNAcentral describes it as "partial 16S ribosomal RNA". It matches the Rfam family "Bacterial small subunit ribosomal RNA", at positions 568 to 774 of the family's 1533-position model. The record is from RNAcentral.
UGCGUAGGUGGUUUCUUAAGUCAGAGGUGAAAGGCUAUGGCUCAACCGUAGUAAGCCUUUGAAACUGAGAAACUUGAGUGCAGGAGAGGAGAGUAGAAUUCCUAGUGUAGCGGUGAAAUGCGUAGAUAUUAGGAGGAAUACCAGUUGCGAAGGCGGCUCUCUGGACUGUAACUGACACUGAGGCACGAAAGCGUGGGGAGCAAACA